CGGGCAUACGUCUUCCUUUCAGUGACCUGCUAAUUCGUUACUUAUUAAUGAAAAACCUGCGGCUGGUUUAUUUGUUCGCUGGGGCAACUCAUCCAUCUCCACUGGAAGACAGCAAGUCCGGGCCAGACAAAGACGACACUCAUCUGUUUCAGCCACCUGACUGCAACGAUGACAAACCCCAAACCUACCACGCUGCUGUUGGAAAUCUAUGGUGUAAAAAUAGAGCGCCGAGAGGUGACAUCAUGUCCUGUGUACGAGAAGAGAAUCACGCCCAUGUUUAAAAACACACGGGGGGAUGAGAAGGAGGCAUAAAAACAAAGAAACACAAAGUGAGUGGGGGUGAAAUCGGCCAGGGCAAACAUGACCAUACAAACUGAAACUGUGUGUAUUAUUUUAGAGUGUCUGCAUGUACCAACCAUCUGUGUAUGUCCCUGUGUGUGUGUGUCUGUGUGUCUGUGUGUGUUGGCAUGAGCUUAUCGCGGAAGAAUGUAGUGGAAAACUGGGAAACAGGAAGUCUCCAUCAGAAGGAAUGAGGCAGCAAGAGCUUUUUACAAAACUCACAAUUCUGCGUCGGUCCCAGAAAAAGAAAUCCAUCGGAGAAGCUGAAGAGAUGCAUCAAUGUCUGAACCAGCAAAAGCCUCCAAAGACCAGAAUGCACUGCAUCACCGAUACCUGCGGGCACCAGCUUUGACUCCAAACUACAAACUUCAGCGAAAGCAGUUCCAUCAUUGGGUGAAAAAAAAAAAAAAAA
This is a long non-coding RNA of Xiphias gladius (swordfish), 751 nucleotides long. RefSeq lists it as uncharacterized. The transcript is spliced from 5 exons. The record is from RefSeq and is a predicted model, not a curated record. Lineage: Eukaryota; Metazoa; Chordata; Actinopteri; Istiophoriformes; Xiphiidae.